Molecule: long non-coding RNA, 1134 nt
Organism: Girardinichthys multiradiatus
Lineage: Eukaryota; Metazoa; Chordata; Actinopteri; Cyprinodontiformes; Goodeidae
Exons: 3
Source: RefSeq, a predicted model, not a curated record
GCCAGAUUACAUCAGAUGGAAAUGGUCCCAGAGUUCGAGGCAUGGCUGCCUCUGACCUUCCUGCUGACCAUCAUCAAGUCCAUAUAAUAACACCCCAGCAAUGAAUAAACAAAUUCAAAGACAACUCAAAAGUCAAUCUGUCAGGAUCGAGGGUUUGGAGGCAAGACCGGAAUGCAGAACAUGGCGAGGAGGUCGCAUGUGGCUGAAAACAAGAAAGGCCUCAGGACCUGAUAUCUCCCCAUCAUGCCUGAGAGCCUGCCCUGAUCAACUGGCACCCAUCAUCACUGGGAUCUUCAACAAGUCACUAGAGCUGUGUGAGGUUCCCUCCUGUCGCCCUGAUGUCUGUGGUCAUGAAAUCCUUUGAGCGACUGGUGUUGAAGCACCUGAAGGACAUCACAGGCCCAUUGCUGGACCCCUGCCCUUUGUUUAGCGAGCAAACAGGUCAGCAGAUGUUGCGGUCAACUUGCGACUACACUUCAUCCUGCAACACCUCGACCACCCAAGGACAUACGCCAGGAUCCUGUUUGUGGACUUCAGCUCGGCCUUCAACACCAUUAAGCCUGACAUCUUCCAUCAGAUGCUCAUCCAGCUCAAAGUCCUGGCCUCCACCUGUCAGUGGAUCACCAGUUUCCAGAAGGACCAGCAGGUGAGGCUGGGGAGUAUCUUCUCCCGCACAAGAACCAUCAGCACCGGCACCCCCCAGAGGUGUGUUCUCUCCCCACUCCGCUUCUCACUCUACACAAACGACUGCAUAUCAGCGUACCUUUCUGUGAAACUCCUGAAGUUUGCAGAUGAUACCACUGGUAUUGGACUGAUCCAGAACAGUGAUGAGUCUGCAUACAAAUAGGAGGUGGAUUGGCUGGUAAACUGGUGUGGUCAGAACCACCUGGAACUGAACCCACUCAAGACUGUGGAGAUGAUGGUGGACUGUCGUAGUACACCACCCCUACACACCCACCUCACCAUCCUCAACAACACUGUAUCUGCUGUGGACCACGUCCGGUUCCUGGGAAAAACAAUUUCUCAAAAACUGAGAUGUCCUCAAACAUAGACAAAGUUCCCAAAAAGGCCCAGCAGAGACUGUACUUCCUGAGGCAACUCAAGACGUUUAACCUUCCACAGGAGCUGCUGGUC